Molecule: non-coding RNA, 72 nt
Organism: Candidatus Woesebacteria bacterium RBG_13_36_22
Lineage: Bacteria; Candidatus Woeseibacteriota
Source: Rfam
GGGCUGGUAGCUUAAUGGUAGAGCACAUGUCUUAUAAACAUGAGGUCGAUGGUUCGAUCCCAUCCCAGCCCA